Molecule: ribosomal RNA, 877 nt
Filed under: uncultured bacterium
Lineage: Bacteria
Description: bacterial SSU rRNA
Rfam family: Bacterial small subunit ribosomal RNA
Source: RNAcentral
UCGCCCUUAGAGUUUAUCCUGGCUCAGAUUGAACGCUGGCGGCAUGCCUUACACAUGCAAGUCGAACGGCAGCAUGAUCUAGCUUGCUAGAUUGAUGGCGAGUGGCGAACGGGUGAGUAAUACAUCGGAACGUGCCCUGUAGUGGGGGAUAACUAGUCGAAAGAUUAGCUAAUACCGCAUACGACCUGAGGGUGAAAGUGGGGGACCGCAAGGCCUCAUGCUAUAGGAGCGGCCGAUGUCUGAUUAGCUAGUUGGUGAGGUAAAGGCUCACCAAGGCGACGAUCAGUAGCUGGUCUGAGAGGACGAUCAGCCACACUGGGACUGAGACACGGCCCAGACUCCUACGGGAGGCAGCAGUGGGGAAUUUUGGACAAUGGGCGAAAGCCUGAUCCAGCAAUGCCGCGUGUGUGAAGAAGGCCUUCGGGUUGUAAAGCACUUUUGUCCGGAAAGAAAUGGCUCUGGUUAAUACCUGGGGUCGAUGACGGUACCGGAAGAAUAAGGACCGGCUAACUACGUGCCAGCAGCCGCGGUAAUACGUAGGGUCCAAGCGUUAAUCGGAAUUACUGGGCGUAAAGCGUGCGCAGGCGGUUGUGCAAGACCGAUGUGAAAUCCCCGAGCUUAACUUGGGAAUUGCAUUGGUGACUGCACGGCUAGAGUGUGUCAGAGGGGGGUAGAAUUCCACGUGUAGCAGUGAAAUGCGUAGAGAUGUGGAGGAAUACCGAUGGCGAAGGCAGCCCCCUGGGAUAACACUGACGCUCAUGCACGAAAGCGUGGGGAGCAAACAGGAUUAGAUACCCUGGUAGUCCACGCCCUAAACGAUGUCAACUAGUUGUUGGGGAUUCAUUUCCUUAGUAACGUAGCUAACGCGUGAAGUUGA